GGAUGAGAUCAUACCAGCACUAAAGCACCGGAUCCCAUCAGAACUCCGAAGUUAAGCGUGCUUGGGCGAGAGUAGUACUAGGAUGGGUGACCUCCUGGGAAGUCCUCGUGUUGCAUUCC
Molecule: ribosomal RNA, 119 nt
Filed under: Triticum aestivum (bread wheat)
Lineage: Eukaryota; Viridiplantae; Streptophyta; Magnoliopsida; Poales; Poaceae
Also listed under: 1 other name
Source: RNAcentral